RNAcentral lists this ribosomal RNA (663 nucleotides) under uncultured cyanobacterium. Its description in RNAcentral is "bacterial SSU rRNA". It matches the Rfam family "Bacterial small subunit ribosomal RNA", at positions 99 to 795 of the family's 1533-position model. Lineage: Bacteria; Bacillati; Cyanobacteriota. The record is from RNAcentral.
CGGACGGGUGAGUAACGCGUGAGAAUCUGGCUUCAGGUCUGGGACAACCACUGGAAACGGCGGCUAAUACCGGAUGUGCCGAAAGGUGAAAGGUUAACUGCCUGAAGAUGAGCUCGCGUCUGAUUAGCUAGUUGGAAGUGUAAUGGACUCCCAAGGCGACGAUCAGUAGCUGGUCUGAGAGGACGAUCAGCCACACUGGGACUGAGACACGGCCCAGACUCCUACGGGAGGCAGCAGUGGGGAAUUUUCCGCAACGGGCGAAAGCCUGACGGAGCAAUACCGCGUGAGGGAGGAAGGCUCUUGGGUCGUAAACCUCUUUUCUCAGGGAAGAACACAAUGACGGUACCUGAGGAAUAAGCAUCGGCUAACUCCGUGCCAGCAGCCGCGGUAAUACGGAGGAUGCAAGCGUUAUCCGGAAUGAUUGGGCGUAAAGCGUCCGCAGGUGGCAAUGUAAGUCUGCUGUUAAAGAGUCUAGCUCAACUAGAUAAGAGCAGUGGAAACUACAUAGCUAGAGUACGUUCGGGGCAGAGGGAAUUCCUGGUGUAGCGGUGAAAUGCGUAGAGAUCAGGAAGAACACCAGUGGCGAAGGCGCUCUGCUAGGCCGUAACUGACACUGAGGGACGAAAGCUAGGGGAGCGAAUGGGAUUAGAUACCCCAGUAGUC